This 253-nucleotide ribosomal RNA is filed under the name uncultured bacterium. Its description in RNAcentral is "partial 16S ribosomal RNA". It matches the Rfam family "Bacterial small subunit ribosomal RNA", at positions 524 to 776 of the family's 1533-position model. The record is from RNAcentral.
UACAUGUGGGGCAAGCGUUGUUCGGAAUUACUGGGCAUAAAGGGUGCGUAGGCGGUUUGUUAAGUCACUGGUGAAAGUUUUCGGCCCAACCGGAAAAUUGCCUGUGAUACUGGCGAACUUGAGUGCGUGAGGGGUGGGGGGAACGAGCAGUGUAGCGGUGAAAUGCGUAGAUAUAUAGAUGAACACCAAAGGCGAAGGCAGUUAACUAGUCUGUUCCUGACACUGAGGCACGAAAGCGUGGGGAGCGAAACGG